UUCUUCCCUCUCUCUCCUCUCGCUCUCUCACGCUCUCCUCUCUGUGUGAAUCUGCACCCCCUCAAAUUUCGACCAAACUUCUCUCUCUCCUCUUGUGAAUAGAUUUUUGAUUGUCCUGAAAACUUUAGGUAUGGAAGUUCUGAUCUUGUAGUUAAGAGAUUGUAAGAUUGUGAAUGUUCAGAUCCUCUCUCAAACAGGUUAGGAGGAAUUGUUAGGGCGAAGAAACUGAUAUGAUUCUUGGUAAGGUCUGAAUCUUAAAGGGAACAUGGCAGAUCAGGUCUUGAAAGGGAGUAAACUCCGAAACCUUAUCUCCACAAGAUCCAACUUCAUCGACCGGAUCCAAUUUGUUCAGAGCGAGCGUGAGAGGAAUCCCAACCAACUCAGCCUCGACCAAAAACCUGGUGAGUGAGAAUGCCUCAAGCUUCGGCUGCUGGCGAUUGGAGGAUCGAGGAUUUCCGAACUUCUAUGGUAAACAUUUUCGAUCAUCCCUAUAAGGUCCACCCAUUCGAAGGACCCUACUAACACCUUAUCCCCAUCCAAAACCUUCCUCUUGAUCUUCUUGAAAAGAGCCCUAACCACGCACAGCAAUUCAACUCCAACGGCUGGUUCCUCAGGUUCGCUAGCGUUUUCCAGAGUCGGACCGGCUGACUGGACGAUAACUUUCAUGAAAUUGGCCUGUGCAGCGGCAACAUUCCGAUGGCCUGGUUCGGCAUGAGAACAGGCGAUUCUCCAAAGAAAGAAGAGGAGAUAGAGAUGAUAAUUCCCUGACGCUGCCCUUUUCUCUGAGGAGGUUCUUGCGGGGCGGCUGCUUCCUGUAACUAUUAUGGUUUUGUCGAGCUGCAAUGGAGACGAAACCGAAACGGGAAGUACGAGAAGAGACAGGCGGAGGAGGAAAUUGCUGCAACUGGGAAGACCCGUGCGAUUACGAAGGAUGGUAAGGGAAGAAAUAGACAUGAGUGUAUUGAUAGAGAUGGAACUAAAUUGAUAGGUGCAAGGCUAUACAUCCUCACUGCUACCACCUCACUACCCCUGGAGUUGAUUUUAGUGUCGAGAAACAGUUCAUUACUAGAGAUUAUUUCAAGCUCAAGUAGAAGAGGAUUGAGAUAUUGCGAGCCGUCCUUGAGGGCUACAGUUUCGUCUUCACGGUUCUUAUUUUUGAUCACCCAGGAGAGAACUCACUGUGAACUAUAUGCAGGAUGCAGAUGUGAUGUGGUUAAGAAAUCCAUUUCUACACUUCAGCCCCAGCAGCGUGUUUCACAUUGCCUAUGACCAUUACAUACACAAUCCAACAGAGAUAAGGAAUGACAUCAAUGGAGAAUUCAACUAUGUUAGAUCAGACUCCAUAUCAAUUGAGUUCUUCAGAUACUGGCAUAUGUAGAAGGUUUUGUAUCCGGGGUAUAGCGAUCAAUCUGUCUUACAAAUCAUAAGAAAUGAUAUGGUCAAUGCAGAGAUGAUAGGUUUGGGGUUUAAGUAUCUAGACACAAGCUACUUUGCAGAAUUCACCGCCACCUAGUUUUUGGCCUUUGGGAAGAGACUAGGAGCAUUGUGGUGGGAUAUAUAGAGCUAUUUAGCAUUCCUUUCUCAACAUUCAAUGAAAAAUAAUGUUCUCUUAUCAGACCGAAUGAAGAAGAGUACCACAAAAGUCAUUACCAAAUCUGCACAUGACUUCAGCUCAUAUGUGGCAUGGAAAAUGGAACGGGGGGGUAGUAGUACUCCCACUUCCAGACCAGUUCUUCCAACUGUCAAUAAUCUAGUGGAUGGAAUGUACAGCAUCAAAGCGUGUCAGGUAUUGUUGGACAACAUGACAAAGUUAACAGAAGAGAUGUGGGUGAAGGCUCAACAAAAGAUACACAAGAAUGCUGCUUGGAGAAUAUCAUUUGUAGAAGUUGCUGCUGAAAAAAGGAUGUGGAUGAUUAGAGCAUUGAAGUAGGAUUUGGGAGUUUCUUGAAAACAAUAGGUUUAUUUUUAAAUUUGAGAAUGACAUGGAUAUUUGUUUGUUUGAUUUUGAUGGAUGGUUUGAUUUAAAAGUAAGAUAGGGGAAUUUCUUUGAGGAUGACAUGGAUAUUUCUUUGCUUGUUGAUUUUGGUGGAUAUUUUGAUUUAAAAGUAGGAUAUGGGAGUUUAUUUGAGGAUGA
Long non-coding RNA from Macadamia integrifolia, 2134 nucleotides. RefSeq lists it as uncharacterized. The transcript is spliced from 2 exons. NCBI's taxonomy places the organism in Eukaryota, Viridiplantae, Streptophyta, Magnoliopsida, Proteales, Proteaceae. The record is from RefSeq and is a predicted model, not a curated record.